Long non-coding RNA from Hibiscus syriacus, 371 nucleotides. RefSeq lists it as uncharacterized. The transcript has 3 exons. The record is from RefSeq and is a predicted model, not a curated record. NCBI's taxonomy places the organism in Eukaryota, Viridiplantae, Streptophyta, Magnoliopsida, Malvales, Malvaceae.
UUGCAGUGUUGUUGGAUAUAGAGGAGCCAAUAGUCAAAAGCACCAAUUCAAAUUGAAUCCCAAAGCACCUAUUUGGAGUAAGCCUCCAAAUGUUUUGGUGGAAAGUUGCUAGCUUCAGGCUACUGGGGACUUGCAAGGCACUAUAAUUACCUAGCGGAUUACUUGCUAUCACUUUCUUUCAGUUUGGUUUGCGGUUCAGCUCUCCAAUUCCAUACUUCUACCCUAUGGUUCUGAUCGUGUUUUUAUAUCAAGAGAAAGAAGAGAUGAAGCUUCUUGUGCAGAAAAAUAAAAAGAAAUCUGGGCAGAAUACUGCAAAGUUGUUCCAUGGAGAAUCGUGCCAUAUUUGUAUUAAUCAACAUAAUGUUGCAAUA